GGCUGUGGCUCAGAGGUAGAGCACUUGCCUAGCAUGUGUGAGGCCCUGGGUUUGAUCCUCAGCACCA
RNAcentral lists this transfer RNA (67 nucleotides) under Marmota monax (woodchuck). RNAcentral's name for it is "tRNA.Ala". Lineage: Eukaryota; Metazoa; Chordata; Mammalia; Rodentia; Sciuridae. The record is from RNAcentral.